Molecule: ribosomal RNA, 450 nt
Filed under: uncultured Glomeromycotina
Lineage: Eukaryota; Fungi; Glomeromycota
Description: SSU rRNA
Rfam family: Eukaryotic small subunit ribosomal RNA
Source: RNAcentral
AGCAGCCGCGGUAAUUCCAGCUCCAAUAGCGUAUAUUAAAGUUGCUGCAGUUAAAAAGCUCGUAGUUGAAUUUCGGGAUCGAUAUAUCGGUCGUGCCUCGGUACGUACUGGUAUUUUCGGUUUCUACCUUCUGACGAACCUUGAUGUCAUUAAUUUGGUGUCUUGGGGAAUCAGGACUGUUACUUUGAAAAAAUUAGAGUGUUUAAAGCAGGCUCACGCUUGAAUACAUUAGCAUGGAAUAAUGAAAUAGGACGUUUGAUUCUAUUUUGUUGGUUUCUAGGAUCGACGUAAUGAUUAAUAGGGAUAGUUGGGGGCAUUAGUAUUCAAUUGUCAGAGGUGAAAUUCUUGGAUUUAUUGAAGACUAACUACUGCGAAAGCAUUUGCCAAGGAUGUUUUCACUAAUCAAGAACGAAAGUUAGGGGAUCGAAGACGAUCAGAUACCGUCGUAGU